RNAcentral lists this unclassified non-coding RNA (300 nucleotides) under uncultured fungus. RNAcentral describes it as "sequence contains ITS2". The stretch from base 1 to 52 matches the Rfam family "5.8S ribosomal RNA", at positions 103 to 154 of the family's 154-position model. The record is from RNAcentral. Lineage: Eukaryota; Fungi.
AACGCAUCUUGCGCUCUCUGGUAUUCCGGAGAGCAUGUCUGUUUGAGUGUCAUGAAUUCUUCAACCCAACUGUUUCUUGUAAACAGCUGGUGUUUGGAUUCUGAGCGCUGCUGGCUUCGUGCCUAGCUCGUUCGUAAUACAUCAGCAUCCCUAAUACAAGUUUGGAUUGACUUGGCGUAAUAGACUAUUCGCUAAGGAUUUAAUGUUCGCAUUGAGCCAACUUAAUUAAGGAAGCUUCUAAUUGAAAAGUCUACCUUUAGAUUAGAUCUCAAAUCAGGCAGGAUUACCCGCUGAACUUAA